Molecule: transfer RNA, 67 nt
Filed under: Pithecia chrysocephala (golden-faced saki)
Lineage: Eukaryota; Metazoa; Chordata; Mammalia; Primates; Pitheciidae
Description: tRNA-Gly
Rfam family: tRNA
About the family: Transfer RNA (tRNA) molecules are approximately 80 nucleotides in length. Their secondary structure includes four short double-helical elements and three loops (D, anti-codon, and T loops).
Source: RNAcentral
ACUCUUUUAGUAUAAACAGUACAAUUGACUUCCAAUCAAUAAGUCUUGAUAGAUAUGAGAAAGAGUA